RNAcentral lists this ribosomal RNA (913 nucleotides) under uncultured bacterium. RNAcentral's name for it is "bacterial SSU rRNA". It matches the Rfam family "Bacterial small subunit ribosomal RNA", at positions 584 to 1501 of the family's 1533-position model. The record is from RNAcentral.
CAUGUCUGAUGUGAAACCCUAUGGCUCAACCAUAAAAACUGCAUUGGAAACUGGUUACCUAGAGUAUGGGAGGGGGAGAUGGAAUUAGUGGUGUAGGGGUAAAAUCCGUAGAUAUCACUAGGAAUACCGAAAGCGAAGGCGAUCUCCUGGAACAAUACUGACGCUAAGGCGUGAAAGCGUGGGGAGCAAACGGGAUUAGAUACCCCGGUAGUCCACGCCCUAAACGAUGAACACUAGUCGUCGGAAUGCUAGUCAUUUCGGUGAUGCACUUAACAGAUUAAGUGUUCCGCCUGGGGAGUACGGUCGCAAGAUUAAAACUCAAAGGAAUAGACGGGGACCCGCACAAGUGGUGGAGCAUGUGGUUUAAUUCGAAGAUACGCGAAGAACCUUACCUAGCCUUGACAUUGAUUGAACGGACCAGAGAUGGACCGGUGCCCUUCGGGGAACAUGAAAACAGGUGCUGCACGGCUGUCGUCAGCUCGUGUCGUGAGAUGUUGGGUUAAGUCCCGCAACGAGCGCAACCCUCGUCACUAGUUACUAACGGUUCGGCCGAGGACUCUAGUGAGACUGCCUUCGUAAGGAGGAGGAAGGUGAGGACGACGUCAAGUCAUCAUGGCCCUUACGGCUAGGGCAACACACGUGCUACAAUGGCCAGGACAGUGAGACGCAAUACCGCGAGGUGGAGCAAAUCUAUAAACCUGGUCUCAGUUCGGAUUGUUCUCUGCAACUCGAGAACAUGAAGCUGGAAUCACUAGUAAUCGUAGAUCAGCUAUGCUACGGUGAAUACGUUCCCGGGUCUUGUACUCACCGCCCGUCACACCAUGGGAGUUGAUUUCACCCGAAGCGGGGAAGCUAAACUGGCUACCCUCCACGGUGGAAUUAGCGACUGGGGUGAAGUCGUAACAAGGUAACC